Molecule: ribosomal RNA, 347 nt
Filed under: uncultured fungus
Lineage: Eukaryota; Fungi
Description: SSU rRNA
Rfam family: Eukaryotic small subunit ribosomal RNA
Source: RNAcentral
GUAGUCAUAUGCUUGUCUCAAAGAUUAAGCCAUGCAUGUCUAAGUAUAAGCAAUUAUACCGUGAAACUGCGAAUGGCUCAUUAAAUCAGUUAUCGUUUAUUUGAUAGUACCUUACUACUUGGAUAACCGUGGUAAUUCUAGAGCUAAUACAUGCUAAAAACCCCAACUUCGGGAGGGGUGUAUUUAUUAGAUAAAAAACCAAUGCCCUUCGGGGCUCCUUGGUGAUUCAUGAUAACUUCUCAGAUCGCAUGGCUUUACGCCGGCGACGGUUCAUUCAAAUUUCUGCCCUAUCAACUUUCGAUGGUAAGGUAUUGGCUUACCAUGGUUUCAACGGGUAACGGGGAAUG